UACGAAGGGUGCAAACGUUGCUCGGAAUUAUUGGGCGUAAAGCGCACGUAGGCGGCUAUCUAAGUCGGAUGUGAAAUCCCUCGGCUUAACCAAGGAAGUGCACCCGAAACUGGAUAGCUUGAGUACAGAAGAGGAUCGCGGAAUUCCCGGUGUAGAGGUGAAAUUCGUAGAUAUCGGGAGGAACACCAGUGGCGAAGGCGGCGAUCUGGGCUGAUACUGACGCUGAGGCGCGACAGCGUGGGGAGCAAACAGG
RNAcentral lists this ribosomal RNA (253 nucleotides) under uncultured bacterium. Its description in RNAcentral is "partial 16S ribosomal RNA". It matches the Rfam family "Bacterial small subunit ribosomal RNA", at positions 524 to 776 of the family's 1533-position model. The record is from RNAcentral.